CUCGAACUCCUGGCCUCAAGCAGUCCUCCCACCUCUGCCUCCCAAAGUGCUGGGAUUGCAGGCAUGAGCCACAUGCUCGGCCUCAGCUCCCUCUUGAACACCAACAAUUCCUAGAUUUGGUCUUUUGAAUUACUUUUGUAGAUCUUAGAUUUGGUGUUUUGAGUUACUUUUGUAGAUCUUGUUGGCGGUCUUCAUUCCUUUCAGUUAUUUUUUUCCUUUUUUUCCCUCUGGCUGUAUUUUCAAAUAGCCAGUCUUCAAGCUCACUGAUACUUUCCUCUGUUUGGUUCCCUCUGCUGUUGAGAGUCUAUCGAGUUCAUCAGCAAAUGAACUUCAGCGAUUCAGCAAAUGAACUUCUCAGUUUCAAGAUUUGCUUGAUUUUUAAAAUUACUUUAAUAUUUUGUUAACUUUGAUAAGUUUCUGAAAUGCGCUUGUGUGCUAUCUCGGAGAUCACUGAGUUUCCUUAAAACUGCUAUUUUGAAUUCUUGGUCAGGGAGCUCACCAAUCGCCAUGUCGUUAGGCCCAGUCACUGGAUUUUUGCUUUGUCCUUUUGCGUAGGUCAUGGUCUCCUGCUUGCUGGUGUUUUUGUGGGUAUACGCCUGUGUCUUUGCAAUGAAGGAUUAUUUAUUCCAGUUUUCUCUGUCUGGCUUGUUUGGGUUUCUGUGGGACAUCCUUGCCUAGCGAAGCUUCGCGGCCAGGUCGCUUCCUCUUUUUUGGCUCUAGGUGGCGCCCUAAGCCCAGGUUCGCCUCGUCUCCAAUAAAAGGUGGGAGCACGGCCUGUCCCAAACAGGGGAGGUUUCAAAAGGGUUAUCCUGGCAGUGUGGGAAGGCUGGCUAGGGGUUUGCGCACAGGGCAUCAGAGGAACGUACCUUCUACAGCAUGGUGCUGCGGAACAGCCGCUCCAAUGCGGCGUCUCCUUUGGCCGAGUUACAGGGCAGAGUUUCCGGGCUGGGGUUGGCCCUCGCCUCCCUUUGUCUCCGACUGUGCUCAGGGAUGCCGCUCCCUUCAGUCACAGCCACACCUACUGCGAUCUGGAAGCUGGGAAGCCCACAAUCAAGUCACCAGCAGACUUGGCAUCUGGUGAAGGAUUACUCUCUGGUUCAUAGGUGGCUUCUGUGCUCUGUGUCCUCACACAGUGGAAGGAGGGGCACACCUUUCAGGCCUAGCCCUCGGCCUGGAUGAAGGUGUGGCUGAGCAUCCCUGUUCCUGGAACUUGGCAUCAGCAUCACUGACAUCGGAAGCACAUGGACCCCCUCCCACUUCAACAAGCAUCAAACCCAUCUCUUCUCCUUGCUCUGGCCAGGUCAGACUGGAGCCAACUGUGCUGCAGCUCCUGUGGAAGCCUUGGCAGGGAGGUGAGGGGGAGCACCAGUUACAAGCAAAGGCUCCGAGUGCAAAGAGCCUUCGCUUAUGAUUCAGGAAUCUCUGGGCAAGUUACCUAAGGUAUCUGAGCCAGCAGUUCGUCAUCUGUGGAAUGGGGAGAAUGGCAACACUUCUCAUAGGGUUGAAGUAGGGAAUAAAAUGAUAUAAUGUGUAUUAAACCCUUAGAAAAGGGGCUGGCCUGGCAUAUAGUAAGCGCUUAAUAAAUGUCAUCUGUUGUCAUCAUCAUCUAACUUAAAAGAGUUUAGCGACAGUGUUCUUGAAUCUGCCCUUGUUUACAUACUACGGGUCACUUGUUUGGGAGUGGGAGAGGGAAUAAAAACUACUUUUAUUUAUAACUGUAAAUUGUGUGUAUGUAUUUUAUAUUUCAUAUAGGAAGUAAGUCAGGAAUAUGGGGCCUCUCUGAGCUAGGGCCAAGAUGUGGUGCAGCUGGGCAUACAAUCCAGCUGCCCCUCAGGAUGCUUUGCAGAGUCUACCCAGAUGCGCCAGGCUGCAGAAGCACCAUCAUCUGGUGUCCAUCUGCACAGCCAUAACUAGGGAAGAGGCAGAGCUGAAGUAUAAUGGACAAUCCUUGGCAACUGGGAUUACUUAUUCACUCAUUAAACACUCCCAGUGUGUCCACAGUAUAUGGUUCUGGAACAAAAGCAAGUAAAUUCUGUUUUCAUGGAAGUCUCAGUCUCAUGAGUGAGAAGGAUUAAUACAGAAGAGAGCUAUGAUAAUAGAGACAUAUGGCCCUGGGCAGAAAGAGCAGAACUGAGGAGAAAUACCAAAUAUCUAACUCGGUAAUGGAAGUGGCUGGACUGGCACAGCUCACUUCUGGGGGCCUGGGGUUGGAAGGAGAAAUCUGUUUCUGCAUUUCCAAGAAUCCUGGGUCUUACCUACACACCUUCUGUGUCCAACCAGUGAUACAAAUGUUACUGGCUCAGAAAAGAUUGUUUAGGGAUGGGCUGGCCAUUCUUUCCUCUAAAUAUACUAAAUUCUAUUUUCUAUGUAAGUUAAGACCUCAUGAGUUUGCCCCUGCAAAAAAUACCUCCGUGACUUUGGCUUUCAGCAAUGGUUAACGUUGCAAACGGCUGUUUAAAGUAUGCUUCUUUCCUUUGUAAGACUACUGUUAUAAAUAUUGCAAACUAGGUUGUACAUGGCAACACAAAUAAUAAAUCCUUAAAAAAUACAGUUCCCACUGCAAUCUUCAACAGAACCACAGCUACAUCCCACCAAACAGUAGGAUGGCAGACAACCUGAAUCGCCUAUUAAUAUUAUUAUUAUUUUUUUAAUCUAGGGACUUAAUUAGCUGCUAGGAAUAGAACAGUAAAUCAGUUGUCUUUUAAUCCUGCUACAUCUCUUAUAAUAUUUUCUUUCAUUAGGUAAUGUAAAUAAUAUUCUCUGUUAUGUUUUCUUUUUGCUAUGCCUGCCAAGAAAGCUUGGGGCUAAAUUUAAGGCAUGAUAAUAGUCCUUUAACCAUGGGAGGUUUUGGUAUAUUUGCUUCCUUUUUAUUUUACUGG
RNAcentral lists this long non-coding RNA (2879 nucleotides) under Homo sapiens (human). Its description in RNAcentral is "HSALNT0361747". The record is from RNAcentral. Lineage: Eukaryota; Metazoa; Chordata; Mammalia; Primates; Hominidae.